RNAcentral lists this small nuclear RNA (20 nucleotides) under Arabidopsis thaliana (thale cress). Its description in RNAcentral is "snRNA_12646". The record is from RNAcentral. Lineage: Eukaryota; Viridiplantae; Streptophyta; Magnoliopsida; Brassicales; Brassicaceae.
GGAAUGCAGCCCCAAUCGGG